This 253-nucleotide ribosomal RNA is filed under the name uncultured bacterium. Its description in RNAcentral is "partial 16S ribosomal RNA". It matches the Rfam family "Bacterial small subunit ribosomal RNA", at positions 524 to 776 of the family's 1533-position model. The record is from RNAcentral.
UACAGGGGGUGCAAACGUUGCUCGGAAUUAUUGGGCGUAAAGCGCGCGUAGGCGGCCACUUAAGUCGGAUGUGAAAGCCCCUGGCUCAACUGGGGAAGUGCACCCGAAACUGAAUGGCUUGAAUACAAAAGAGGGUCGCGGAAUUCCCGGUGUAGAGGUGAAAUGCGUAGAUAUCUGGAGGAACACCGGUGGCGAAGGCGGCAUCCUGGACCAACACUGACGCUGAGGAGCGAAAGCCAGGGGAGCAAACGGG